Molecule: non-coding RNA, 82 nt
Organism: Rhizophagus clarus
Lineage: Eukaryota; Fungi; Glomeromycota; Glomeromycetes; Glomerales; Glomeraceae
Source: the annotation of a GenBank genome assembly
GGUGAUUUGGCCGAGUUGGUCUAAGGCGCCGCACUCAAGAUGCGGUCUCGAAAGAGGCGUGAGUUCGAAUCUCACAGUCACC